CACGUAGGCGGAUCUUUAAGUCAGGGGUGAAAUCCCGGAGCUCAACUCCGGAACUGCCUUUGAUACUGAGGAUCUUGAGUCCGGGAGAGGUGAGUGGAACUGCGAGUGUAGAGGUGAAAUUCGUAGAUAUUCGCAAGAACACCAGUGGCGAAGGCGGCUCACUGGCCCGGUACUGACGCUGAGGUGCGAAAGCUGGGAGCAAACA
This 205-nucleotide ribosomal RNA is filed under the name uncultured bacterium. RNAcentral describes it as "partial 16S ribosomal RNA". It matches the Rfam family "Bacterial small subunit ribosomal RNA", at positions 568 to 774 of the family's 1533-position model. The record is from RNAcentral.